CUCCANGANGNAGCGACCGACACCUGACGACGAUCAAAUUCCCACCGCGCGUCGUGACGCUUUGGGCGUCCUUGUUUCGGAUUUUUGCCUGCCGCGUGCGGCAACCACGGGAGACCASCUUCCGUCCCUUAUCCUCGGAAGGAUGGGGGGACGAAUAUUUGUGACACCCAGGCAGACGUGCCCUCGGCCAGAAGGCUUGGGGCGCAACUUGCGUUCAAAGACUCGAUGGUUCACGGGAUUCUGCAAUUCACACCAGGUAUCGCAUUUCGCUACGUUCUUCAUCGAUGCGAGAGCCGAGAUAUCCGUUGCCGANAGUCGUUUUAACUUUAGAUCACGGUGCUGCGACCGCACSAACACCGUCUCCGGGUCCGCGCAGACGCUUUCCGUUUUGUUUUAUGUUCCUUGACACUUUUCGUGCCGGGGUUUUGUGAA
This 432-nucleotide unclassified non-coding RNA is filed under the name Carrichtera annua. RNAcentral's name for it is "sequence contains ITS1, 5.8S rRNA gene and ITS2". The record is from RNAcentral. Lineage: Eukaryota; Viridiplantae; Streptophyta; Magnoliopsida; Brassicales; Brassicaceae.